UGGGGAAUAUUGCACAAUGGGCGCAAGCCUGAUGCAGCCAUGCCGCGUGUAUGAAGAAGGCCUUCGGGUUGUAAAGUACUUUCAGCGGGGAGGAAGGCGAUAAGGUUAAUAACCUUGUCGAUUGACGUUACCCGCAGAAGAAGCACCGGCUAACUCCGUGCCAGCAGCCGCGGGAAUACGGAGGGUGCAAGCGUUAAUCGGAAUUACGGGGCGUAAAGCGCACGCAGGCGGUCUGUCAAGUCGGAUGUGAAAUCCCCGGGCUCAACCUGGGAACUGCAUUCGAAACUGGCAGGCUAGAGUCUUGUAGAGGGGGGUAGAAUUCCAGGUGUAGCGGUGAAAUGCGUAGAGAUCUGGAGGAAUACCGGUGGCGAAGGCGGCCCCCUGGACAAAGACUGACGCUCAGGUGCGAAAGCGUGGGGAGCAAACA
RNAcentral lists this ribosomal RNA (427 nucleotides) under uncultured bacterium. Its description in RNAcentral is "partial 16S ribosomal RNA". It matches the Rfam family "Bacterial small subunit ribosomal RNA", at positions 355 to 774 of the family's 1533-position model. The record is from RNAcentral.